This 523-nucleotide ribosomal RNA is filed under the name Pedicularia pacifica. Its description in RNAcentral is "partial 16S ribosomal RNA". It matches the Rfam family "Bacterial large subunit ribosomal RNA", at positions 1809 to 2604 of the family's 2925-position model. Lineage: Eukaryota; Metazoa; Mollusca; Gastropoda; Littorinimorpha; Pediculariidae. The record is from RNAcentral.
AAAAACAUGGCUCCUUGUCUUCUACACAUAAGGAGUCAGACCUGCCCAGUGAAUAAUUUUUAACGGCCGCGGUACCCUGACCGUGCAAAGGUAGCAUAAUCAUUUGCCCUAUAAUUGAGGGCUAGUAUGAAUGGUUUGACGUGAACAAAACUGUCUCUACAAGAAUUUUUAGAACUUGAUUUUUAGGUGAAGAAACCUAAAUAAUAUUAAAAGACAAGAAGACCCUAUUGAGCUUGAAAGAAAUAAACGGGAAUAUAGUUAUAGGCUUUAUAGGCUUUUCCGUUUUAAAUUUUGGUUGGGGCGACUAUGGAACAAACAAAGCUUCUUUUAAAAUUAAAAAUCCACAAAUAAUGAUCCAAACAUUUUGAUUAAAGAAAUUAGUUACCGUAGGGAUAACAGCAUAAUUCUCUUUGAGAGCUCUAAUCGAAAAGAGAGUUUGUGACCUCGAUGUUGGACUAGAAUAUCCUAAAGAUGCAGCAGUCUUUAAGGGUUGGUCUGUUCGACCAUUAAAAUUCUACGUGAU